CGGAAGUAGAAGGCGACUUGGAGGCAGCCCCUUGGGCUCCGUCAGGCCCGUCGGGUCCCUUGCCUAACCCAUCUGUUUUCCCUUUCCUUACAAAGCUGUUUCCUCAGCGGGCUCAGCGAGGAAACCCCUGAGUAAACAGAGUGUGUGCUGUUGGCCCCAAGGUUUCUCUGAGCUGUACCCCAGGGACACACGGCUGGGCAAAGCCCACUUCCAACCCUCUUGCCAGGCCUCUGGUCCGGCACAACUGUUGUUUCCAUGAAGCGGUUUCUUUCAGCCACAUUCCCUUCAGCCUCUGAAGGAAGAGCUUGCACCUCCAGGCAGCAAGGCAGAGGAAAUCUCUGAGGCAGAUGUCGGCUGAGGGCACUGAGCCUCUCUCCCUGCUUCCCCAGCCAGAGGGCCCUCCCCCCUCAACACAACAAUGGCUCCAGUCAUGCUGGGGAACUCCACAGGCUUCCAGGGCAGCUGUGGUUCAGAAAUACCAGGAACUGCCAAGCACACUGAGACACGGUCUAAGAAGGUGCAACUACCACUCUUGGAACCCAUAUUUAAGAGGCCGGGAAGAGGAAGCCCUCCCUCUGGGCAGACAGCCUGGAGUCCUGGGGAGGAGCACACCCUCCCACCAGCCUGCAUACAGUCACCUUCCCUCAAACAAAGCCAGUGCUGUCCCUGACGGCCUCAGGCACUGGCAGCCUCCGCUGAGCCCACAAUCCACCUCACCUUCAAAAUGCUUGCCACCCUCCUCAUUCUGUCCUCAUCAGUGCCCUGGGGAAGGAGCAUCACCCUGUCGAGUUCUGGUGUUUGCCUCCCUUCAAGCACAGGCCUGGGCACCCACUGGUCAUUGUGGGUGUGCUUCUGGUUUUCAAGGAGUGGCCACUCUCUGUACUUGGAUAAUUAUUUUUAAAUAAAUGAGGUGCUGUGAG
Molecule: long non-coding RNA, 920 nt
Filed under: Mustela putorius furo (domestic ferret)
Lineage: Eukaryota; Metazoa; Chordata; Mammalia; Carnivora; Mustelidae
Description: lncRNA (ENSMPUG00000025049.1)
Source: RNAcentral